Molecule: RNA transcript, 2705 nt
Organism: Mus musculus (house mouse)
Lineage: Eukaryota; Metazoa; Chordata; Mammalia; Rodentia; Muridae
Gene: Hdac10
Gene name: histone deacetylase 10
Exons: 19
Source: RefSeq, marked validated
GGAAGCCGGAAGUUAGGCGUUUGGCGUCACGCUUAGUUCAGUUUCCAGCGGUUCUCUUCUGACAAUCGGGCGGGCUUGAGCCCGGACCUGGGCCUGGGGUGGUUUCCUCUUGCCCAGGUCCAGCGUGCACAACCCAGUUCGUCCCGAGUGAGGAUUGUUUACGUGCAUAGUUAGGUGAGACCGGGCAGUGCAAUUACCUGCCGGCAGAGGGCGUGUUGCGUUAGAGCGGAUCAAAGUGACCACGGUGUAGCUAUGGGCACAGCACUUGUGUACCACGAGGACAUGACAGCCACUCGACUGCUCUGGGAUGACCCCGAGUGCGAAAUUGAGUGCCCAGAGCGCCUGACAGCUGCCCUGGAUGGCCUGCGGCAGCGUGGCCUGGAAGAAAGGUGCCUGUGUUUGUCAGCUUGUGAGGCAUCAGAGGAAGAGUUGGGCUUGGUGCACAGCCCGGAAUAUAUAGCCCUGGUGCAGAAGACCCAGACCCUGGAUAAAGAGGAGCUCCACGCACUGUCUAAGCAGUACAAUGCUGUCUACUUUCACCCGGACACCUUUCACUGUGCCCGGCUGGCAGCGGGGGCUGCACUGCAGCUGGUCGAUGCUGUGCUAACAGGAGCUGUGCACAAUGGGCUUGCCCUGGUGAGGCCUCCAGGGCACCACAGUCAGAGGGCAGCUGCCAAUGGAUUCUGUGUGUUCAACAAUGUGGCUCUAGCAGCCAAACAUGCCAAGCAGAAAUAUGGGCUGCAGAGGAUUCUCAUUGUCGACUGGGAUGUCCACCAUGGCCAGGGCAUCCAGUAUAUCUUCAACGAUGACCCCAGUGUCCUUUAUUUCUCUUGGCACCGCUAUGAGCAUGGAAGCUUCUGGCCGUUUCUCCCAGAGUCUGAUGCAGAUGCAGUUGGCCAAGGGCAGGGCCAAGGUUUCACUGUCAAUUUGCCCUGGAACCAGGUUGGGAUGGGAAAUGCCGACUAUUUGGCUGCCUUUCUGCAUGUGCUGCUCCCACUGGCCUUCGAGGUGACUGUGUGUUUGAUCCUGAGUUGGUGCUGGUGUCGGCUGGAUUUGACUCUGCUAUCGGGGACCCUGAGGGGCAGAUGCAGGCCACCCCUGAGUGCUUUGCCCAUCUCACACAGCUGCUGCAGGUGCUGGCUGGUGGCCGGAUUUGUGCUGUGUUGGAGGGUGGCUACCACUUGGAGUCCCUAGCACAGUCAGUGUGCAUGAUGGUGCAGACACUGCUUGGUGACCCCACACCUCCCCUUCUUGGGCUCAUGGUGCCAUGUCAGAGUGCCCUGGAGUCCAUCCAGAGUGUCCAGACAGCCCAGACCCCUUACUGGACAAGCCUCCAGCAAAAUGUGGCCCCAGUUCUGAGUUCCAGCACCCACUCUCCUGAAGAGAGAUCUCUGCGUCUGCUUGGUGAGAGCCCCACAUGUGCAGUAGCAGAGGAUUCACUGAGCCCCCUCCUGGACCAACUGUGCCUCCGCCCUGCACCUCCAAUCUGCACAGCGGUGGCCUCGACUGUACCAGGUGCUGCUCUGUGCUUACCUCCUGGAGUGCUCCAUCAAGAAGGGUCAGUCUUGAGGGAGGAGACCGAAGCCUGGGCCAGGCUUCACAAAUCCCGGUUCCAGGAUGAGGAUCUUGCCACACUGGGGAAGAUUCUGUGUCUCUUAGAUGGAAUCAUGGAUGGGCAGAUAAGAAAUGCCAUAGCAACCACAACUGCCCUCGCCACAGCAGCAACAUUGGAUGUACUCAUUCAGCGAUGCCUAGCUCGCAGAGCUCAGAGGGUGCUCUGUGUGGCCCUGGGACAACUGGAUCGACCCCUGGACCUUGCAGAUGAUGGGUAUGAUUCUCUAGCUUAUACAUCUCAGUUGUGCAUGGACAGGUAGUGGGCAUGUGACUGGGAAUCCAGGGUCACCGUUGGGUGAGAACACUGCUUCCCAUAGGUGCAGUUUGAGAGUGGAUGCCCCAGAACACAGUGCCAUACCAGGUUGACAGUCACUUACGCCCCCACCCCCCUGGCCCCAAGCUCUCCUCUGUCUUUUAUUGAUAAGCCCUGGGAAGGGUGAGCAGGGUCUCCUGCAUUAUGUGUCUAUGGCCCUGGUGCUUUCUCUUGAGAAGGAGAAUUCUGUGGCUCAACAUCCGGGGCAAGGAUGCAGCCAUCCAGUCCAUGUUCCACUUCUCCACUCCACUGCCACAGACAACUGGAGGGUUUCUGAGCCUCAUUCUGGGUCUGGUACUGCCCUUGGCCUAUGGUUUCCAGCCUGAUAUGGUGUUGAUGGCACUGGGGCCUGCCCAUGGCCUGCAGAACGCUCAAGCUGCUCUCUUGGCUGCAAUGCUUCGGAGCCCAGUAGGGGGCCGAAUUCUAGCUGUAGUGGAAGAGGAAUCCAUACGCCUGCUUGCAAGGAGCCUGGCGCAGGCAUUGCAUGGAGAAACACCUCCCAGUCUGGGUCCUUUCUCGAAGGCCACUCCAGAGGAGAUCCAGGCUCUGAUGUUUCUAAAAGCUCGGCUGGAGGCUCGCUGGAAAUUGCUGCAGGUGGCUGCUCCUCCACCAUAAUAACAGUGAUUGCCAGUCGCUUGAAAUCGGUCAAGGUGGGCGAUUCACACGUGAAAAAUAGCACACUCGGGCCCCAGCGAACCAUGGCCCGAGACCUACGUCCCGUCUGCGGCCCAGGCGUCCUCUACCUCCAGAACAAUAAACAUCGGCCAAACACAACACA